UACGUAGGGGGCAAGCGUUGUCCGGAAUUAUUGGGCGUAAAGAGCGCGUAGGCGGUCCGAUAAGUCGGCUGUGAAAGUCCAGGGCUCAACCCUGGAAAGCCGGUGGAUACUGUCGGGCUAGAGUUCGGAAGAGGCGAGUGGAAUUCCUGGUGUAGCGGUGGAAUGCGCAGAUAUCAGGAGGAACACCGAUGGCGAAGGCAGCUCGCUGGGACGGUACUGAGCUAAGGCGCAAAA
RNAcentral lists this ribosomal RNA (234 nucleotides) under uncultured bacterium. RNAcentral's name for it is "partial 16S ribosomal RNA". It matches the Rfam family "Bacterial small subunit ribosomal RNA", at positions 524 to 758 of the family's 1533-position model. The record is from RNAcentral.